Molecule: ribosomal RNA, 460 nt
Filed under: uncultured bacterium
Lineage: Bacteria
Description: partial 16S ribosomal RNA
Rfam family: Bacterial small subunit ribosomal RNA
Source: RNAcentral
CCUACGGGUGGCAGCAGUGAGGAAUAUUGGUCAAUGGACGAGAGUCUGAACCAGCCAAGUAGCGUGAAGGAUGACUGCCCUAUGGGUUGUAAACUUCUUUUAUAUGGGAAUAAAAUGUUCCACGUGUGGGAUUUUGUAUGUACCAUAUGAAUAAGGAUCGGCUCACUCCGUGCCAGCAGCCGCGGUAAUACGGAGGAUCCGAGCGUUAUCCGGAUUUAUUGGGUUUAAAGGGAGCGUAGGUGGAUUGUUAAGUCAGUUGUGAAAGUUUGGGGCUCAACCGGAAAAUUGCAGUUGAAACUGGCAGUCUUGAGUACAGUAGAGGUGGGCGGAAUUCGUGGUGUAGCGGUGAAAUGCUUAGAUAUCACGAAGAACUCCGAUGGCGAAGGCAGUUCACUGGACUGCAACUGACACUGAGGCUCGAAAGUGUGGGUAUCAAACAGGAUUAGAUACCCUGGUAGUC